RNAcentral lists this ribosomal RNA (258 nucleotides) under uncultured bacterium. RNAcentral's name for it is "partial small subunit ribosomal RNA". It matches the Rfam family "Bacterial small subunit ribosomal RNA", at positions 26 to 286 of the family's 1533-position model. The record is from RNAcentral.
AGGACGAACGCUGGCGGCGUGCUUAACACAUGCAAGUCGAGCGGAAAGGCCCUUCGGGGUACUCGAGCGGCGAACGGGUGAGUAACACGUGAGCAACCUGCCCCUGGCUCUGGGAUAGCCUCCGGAAACGGGGAUUAAUACCGGACAUUCUCCGCCUUCCGCAUGGUUGGCGGUGGAAAGUUUUUUUCGGCCGGGGAGGGGCUCGCGGCCUAUCAGCUUGUUGGCGGGGUAACGGCCCACCAAGGCGACGACGGGUAG